This 252-nucleotide ribosomal RNA is filed under the name uncultured bacterium. RNAcentral describes it as "partial 16S ribosomal RNA". It matches the Rfam family "Bacterial small subunit ribosomal RNA", at positions 524 to 776 of the family's 1533-position model. The record is from RNAcentral.
UACAGAGGCCCCAAGCGUUACUGAGAAUCACUGGGUUUAAAGGGUGCGUAGGUGGGCAGGUAAGUCAGUGGUGAAAUCUCUGGGCUUAACCCGGAACUGCCGUUGAUACUAUCUGUCUUGAAUAUAGUGGAGGUGAGCGGAAUAUGUCAUGUAGCGGUGAAAUGCUUAGAUAUGACAUAGAACAUCGAUUGCGAAGGCAGCUCGCUACACUAUGAUUGACACUGAGGCACGAAAGCGUGGGGAUCAAACAGG